CCUACGGGAGGCUGCAGUGGGGAAUAUUGGACAAUGGGGGGAACCCUGAUCCAGCGACGCCGCGUGAGUGAAGAAGUAUUUCGGUAUGUAAAGCUCUAUCAGCAGGGAAGAAAAUGACGGUACCUGACUAAGAAGCCCCGGCUAACUACGUGCCAGCAGCCGCGGUAAUACGUAGGGGGCAAGCGUUAUCCGGAUUUACUGGGUGUAAAGGGAGCGUAGACGGUGCAGCAAGUCUGAUGUGAAAGGUCGGGGCCCAACCCCGGGACUGCAUUGGAAACUGUUGAACUGGAGUGCAGGAGAGGUAAGCGGAAUUCCUAGUGUAGCGGUGAAAUGCGUAGAUAUUAGGAAGAACACCGGUGGCGAAGGCAGCUUACUGGACUGUAACUGACGUUGAGGCUCGAAAGCGUGGGGAGCAAACAGGAUUAGAUACCCUGGUAGUC
Molecule: ribosomal RNA, 440 nt
Filed under: uncultured bacterium
Lineage: Bacteria
Description: partial 16S ribosomal RNA
Rfam family: Bacterial small subunit ribosomal RNA
Source: RNAcentral